UACGUAGGGCGCAAGCGUUAUCCGGAAUUAUUGGGCGUAAAGAGCUCGUAGGCGGUUUGUCGCGUCUGCCGUGAAAGUCCGGGGCUCAACUCCGGAUCUGCGGUGGGUACGGGCAGGCUAGAGUGAUGUAGGGGAGACUGGAAUUCCUGGUGUAGCGGUGAAAUGCGCAGAUAUCAGGAGGAACACCGGUGGCGAAGGCGGGUCUCUGGGCCGAUAUUGACGCUGAGGAGCGAAAGCGUGGGGAGCGAACAGG
RNAcentral lists this ribosomal RNA (253 nucleotides) under uncultured bacterium. RNAcentral's name for it is "partial 16S ribosomal RNA". It matches the Rfam family "Bacterial small subunit ribosomal RNA", at positions 524 to 776 of the family's 1533-position model. The record is from RNAcentral.